AAGCUUUGUGAGUGAAGCAUGUAGUUUGAGGUAGUGUUCCCUUAAUUUCCCGAGUGAGAAAAACUUCUCGGUUGGAGACUUGAAAAAUCCAAGUCACUGAGUAGUCACGAACUUUUGAGUACCAAGGCGUAGUAGCAUAUGGUGGGAGUCCCCAAGUCUCUAGUCGAGGGAGUUGGCGAAUGAGGUGUCUUGCUAAUAGUCCAUGUCGUAAGUACCAAAACUUCAUUCUUUUGUUUUCUAAGUGGUAGCCCCGGACUUUUUCUUCAUAUAUUUUGUUUAUGAAGGUUGCUAGGCCCGAAUAAGUGGAAUUGCAGAAGGUGUAACGGUUGGUAGCUGUUUUAUGGAAAGCCAUCUGACUACGAUAGUCUUGCACAGGAUGACUAUAGGGAGAUACACACACAUACUGCUAUGAUAGAGGGUGUAACCGUUGGUGCAUUACAAUCAUAAUGGAAGCAUCACAAUGAUGGAAGCAUCACAAUGAUGAAAGCAUCAUAAUGAUGAAAACACCAUAAUGAUGAAACAUCAUAAUGAUGUUUCUUUGGUGGAAUUGUUUUUCAUUUCCCCUAACACCCGGAAUUGGUUUUCAAUAUAAGACCAUCAUCUGUAGCUCGAAUCACAAAGUUGGCUUCAUGAAAGUUGUUCUUUAAUUCCUUAACUACAACAUAUCCAAAUUUGUUCAUCUGCUCAAGAACUAGAGGGUGUCCAAAAUUCAGCUCCAUUGGAGAGAAGCAGCAGC
RNAcentral lists this long non-coding RNA (736 nucleotides) under Malus domestica (apple). Its description in RNAcentral is "long non-coding RNA (MDOM_LNC003215)". Lineage: Eukaryota; Viridiplantae; Streptophyta; Magnoliopsida; Rosales; Rosaceae. The record is from RNAcentral.